CAAUAGCGUAUAUUAAAGUUGUUGCAGUUAAAAAGCUCGUAGUUGGAUCUGUGGUGUGCGGUGGGCUCCGGGCACUUGUUGUCUGAGUAGCUCGCCGCUGCCAUCCUUGGGUGGAACCUGUGUGGCAUUAGGUUGUCGCGCAGGGGAUGCCCAUCGUUUACUGUGAAAAAAUUAGAGUGUUCAAAGCAGGCUUAUGCCGUUGAAUAUAUUAGCAUGGAAUAAUGAGAUAGGACUUUUUCGCUAUUUUGUUGGUUUGCGCGAAGAGGUAAUGAUUAAUAGGGACAGUUGGGGGUAUUCGUAUUCCAUUGUCAGAGGUGAAAUUCUUGGAUUUUUGGAAGACGAACUACUACGAAAGCAUUUACCAAGGAUGUUCUCAUUAA
RNAcentral lists this ribosomal RNA (380 nucleotides) under uncultured eukaryote. Its description in RNAcentral is "partial 18S ribosomal RNA". It matches the Rfam family "Eukaryotic small subunit ribosomal RNA", at positions 592 to 976 of the family's 1831-position model. The record is from RNAcentral.